Molecule: ribosomal RNA, 580 nt
Filed under: Staphylococcus aureus
Lineage: Bacteria; Bacillati; Bacillota; Bacilli; Caryophanales; Staphylococcaceae
Description: bacterial SSU rRNA
Rfam family: Bacterial small subunit ribosomal RNA
Source: RNAcentral
GAGGGUGAUCGGCCACACUGGAACUGAGACACGGUCCAGACUCCUACGGGAGGCAGCAGUAGGGAAUCUUCCGCAAUGGGCGAAAGCCUGACGGAGCAACGCCGCGUGAGUGAUGAAGGUCUUCGGAUCGUAAAACUCUGUUAUUAGGGAAGAACAUAUGUGUAAGUAACUGUGCACAUCUUGACGGUACCUAAUCAGAAAGCCACGGCUAACUACGUGCCAGCAGCCGCGGUAAUACGUAGGUGGCAAGCGUUAUCCGGAAUUAUUGGGCGUAAAGCGCGCGUAGGCGGUUUUUUAAGUCUGAUGUGAAAGCCCACGGCUCAACCGUGAAGGGUCAUUGGAAACUGGAAAACUUGAGUGCAGAAGAGGAAAGUGGAAUUCCAUGUGUAGCGGUGAAAUGCGCAGAGAUAUGGAGGAACACCAGUGGCGAAGGCGACUUUCUGGUCUGUAACUGACGCUGAUGUGCGAAAGCGUGGGGAUCAAACAGGAUUAGAUACCCUGGUAGUCCACGCCGUAAACGAUGAGUGCUAAGUGUUAGGGGGUUCCGCCCCUUAGUGCUGCAGCUAACGCAUUAAGCACU